AUUGAACGCUGGCGGCAGGCUUAACACAUGCAAGUCGAGCGGGGGAAGGUAGCUUGCUACCGGACCUAGCGGCGGACGGGUGAGUAAUGCUUAGGAAUCUGCCUAUUAGUGGGGGACAACAUCUCGAAAGGGAUGCUAAUACCGCAUACGUCCUACGGGAGAAAGCAGGGGAACUUCGGACCUUGCGCUAAUAGCAGAGCCGAAGUCGGAUUAGCUAGUUGGUGGGGUAAAGGCCUACCAAGGCGACGAUCUGUAGCGGGUCUGAGAGGAUGAUCCGCCACGCUGGGACGGAGGCACGGCCCAGACUCCUACGGGAGGCAGCAGUGGGGAAUAUUGGACAAUGGGGGGAACCCUGAUCCAGCCAUGCCGCGUGUGUGAAGAAGGCCUUAUGGUUGUAAAGCACUUUAAGCGAGGAGGAGGCUACUUUAGUUAAUACCUAGAGAUAGUGGACGCUACUCGCAGAAUAAGCACCGGCUAACUCUGUGCCAGCAGCCGCGGUAA
This 501-nucleotide ribosomal RNA is filed under the name uncultured bacterium. Its description in RNAcentral is "partial 16S ribosomal RNA". It matches the Rfam family "Bacterial small subunit ribosomal RNA", at positions 30 to 523 of the family's 1533-position model. The record is from RNAcentral.